CGCAAGAGUGGGGCUAGUCUCGUACCCUGCAUGUGCUGCCUCCCCCCGCACUGCGGGGCCCGAAGCCUGUGUCACAUCUGCCCUGGAACGGAAGCUUCAAACCACAUAGGCUCCGACAAGGUGGAAGCAUGAUUCUGCUGCUCAUAAUGUGUGGAGGGGAGCAGGCCAGGGCAGUGGCAUGGGGACCCUAAAUACAGAAACGGGCAUGCAGGAGAGGAGAAGCAGCCGGGCCAGAGUGGGGCCGAGCCCCUGUGAAGCUCAGUGCCCCAGUGUCCUGCAGCGGCGAGGGGCUGCCACGUGUGGGGAUUCCUCAGAACGGCGGAAGGAGCUGGGCCCAGCCUUGCCCGAGAUGUAUGGCGGGGGAGUCUGGACAUCUUAACCACACCGAGAACCAUUAAGGAGCAAGCUGGAAGGUUCCAGUUUGGGUCUCAAGACGUCCAUGUGCCAACAAGUGUCAAUCUCACAGAUGGACCUGGGCACCCACCUGUUGGAAUCACCGGUUCAGGAGAUCCCAUCGCCUACCGCGCUAGAGCCAGGAGGACCCCCAUCACCUCAUAGGAGCCUUCGGACUGUUGGCACCUGCUGCACCCUUCAGAUGUAUCUUCUUGACAAGGAAAUCAUUUGCAUCAUGUAAAAGUUAAAGAACAUUUCAGUGUCAAAUUUCCUAUGAAGUUAGAGAACCCUGUGGCUCAUGGAACCAUAUCCAGAUGUAGCUCUGCUUUCAGACUCUCCAGUAGUUUUGUGGUUGUACCCAGGGCUCCUUAUAUGCUCAUUUUUAAUUAAAAGAUUUAUUUUUAUAUUUAAAAUACUCUAUAAUCUUAAACUGAAUUUUACUAAAUGUUGGUGUCCAUUCCGUUCUGUGUAAUUCCCCAAAUGAAGUUAUCGGGCACAGGGCCUCUUUUAUAUUAAAAUUGAAAUUUC
This 921-nucleotide long non-coding RNA is filed under the name Canis lupus familiaris (dog). Its description in RNAcentral is "lncRNA (ENSCAFG00000051963.1)". The record is from RNAcentral. Lineage: Eukaryota; Metazoa; Chordata; Mammalia; Carnivora; Canidae.